UACGAAGGGGGCUAGCGUUGCUCGGAUUGACUGGGCGUAAAGGGCGCGUAGGCGGUUCGUACAGUCAGACGUGAAAUUCCUGGGCUCAACCUGGGGGCUGCGUUUGAUACGUGCGGACUUGAGUACGGAAGAGGGUCGUGGAAUUCCCAGUGUAGAGGUGAAAUUCGUAGAUAUUGGGAAGAACACCGGUGGCGAAGGCGGCGACCUGGUCCGAUACUGACGCUGAGGCGCGAAAGCGUGGGGAGCAAACAGG
This 253-nucleotide ribosomal RNA is filed under the name uncultured bacterium. RNAcentral's name for it is "partial 16S ribosomal RNA". It matches the Rfam family "Bacterial small subunit ribosomal RNA", at positions 524 to 776 of the family's 1533-position model. The record is from RNAcentral.